Molecule: unclassified non-coding RNA, 507 nt
Filed under: Hevea brasiliensis (rubber tree)
Lineage: Eukaryota; Viridiplantae; Streptophyta; Magnoliopsida; Malpighiales; Euphorbiaceae
Source: RNAcentral
UUUUCUUUUUUAUUUUUUUUUACAAAAUUGUCUUGGUAGUGUUACAAAAAAUUAUUCCUGGGUAGAAAUUAAAACCCCUUCUUGAGAAGAUAGGGAAACAAUUUCAAUCUAUGAUGUCAUCAAGUGAGCAAAAAAGGGAAGUAGGAGGAAGAGAAGGAGAAGGAUCAUCAUCAAUGACCUUAACACAAUCCGAUCAUCAUCAUCAGCUAUCACCACCUCCUCAAUUGAGUCGUUACGAGUCUCAGAAACGCCGUGAUUGGAAUACUUUUGGUCAAUACUUGAAGAAUCACAAACCCCCGGUACCUUUACCUCAGUGCAACUAUAAUCACGUGUUAGAUUUUCUUCGAUACCUAGAUCAAUUUGGAAAAACUAAGGUACAUUUAAAUGGAUGUGUAUUUUUUGGACAAGUGGAACAAGUUGGACCAUGUACAUGUCCACUUAGACAAGCAUGGGGAAGUUUAGAUGCACUAAUUGGAAGGCUUAGAGCUGCUUAUGAAGAAAAUGGAG